Molecule: ribosomal RNA, 497 nt
Filed under: uncultured bacterium
Lineage: Bacteria
Description: partial 16S ribosomal RNA
Rfam family: Bacterial small subunit ribosomal RNA
Source: RNAcentral
GAUGAACGCUAGCGGCGUGCCUAAUACAUGCAAGUCGAGCGAACGGACGAGAAGCUUGCUUCUCUGAUGUUAGCGGCGGACGGGUGAGUAACACGUGGAUAACCUACCUAUAAGACUGGGAUAACUUCGGGAAACCGGAGCUAAUACCGGAUGAUAUUUUGAACCGCAUGGUUCAAAAGUGAAAGACGGUCUUGCUGUCACUUAUAGAUGGAUCCGCGCUGCAUUAGCUAGUUGGUAAGGUAACGGCUUACCAAGGCAACGAUGCAUAGCCGACCUGAGAGGGUGAUCGGCCACACUGGAACUGAGACACGGUCCAGACUCCUACGGGAGGCAGCAGUAGGGAAUCUUCCGCAAUGGGCGAAAGCCUGACGGAGCAACGCCGCGUGAGUGAUGAAGGUCUUCGGAUCGUAAAACUCUGUUAUUAGGGAAGAACAUAUGUGUAAGUAACUGUGCACAUCUUGACGGUACCUAAUCAGAAAGCCACGGCUAACUACGUG